GGCGAGGUAGUGAAAAGGUAUAACGUUGGGCUCAUAACCCAAAAUUGUCGGUUCGAAUCCGACCUUCGCAA
RNAcentral lists this transfer RNA (71 nucleotides) under Siphoviridae sp. ctHip2. RNAcentral's name for it is "tRNA-Met". It matches the Rfam family "tRNA". Rfam says of the family: Transfer RNA (tRNA) molecules are approximately 80 nucleotides in length. Their secondary structure includes four short double-helical elements and three loops (D, anti-codon, and T loops). Lineage: Duplodnaviria; Heunggongvirae; Uroviricota; Caudoviricetes. The record is from RNAcentral.